CGUAUCUCUACCCGAAGUUUUCGAGCCGGAAAAAGCUUUCUCGGGUGAUGGCUAUUAGGGCUUUUCUUUUAUGAUCUUAAUUCAAGAGUCAUACGUUUGAGAACGAUGCUAUCGACAUUGUUUUCUUUUAUAAAUCGAUCAACGGAAUUAACAUCAAGAAUCAAAAACGACUGUUUCUAAGAAAGGUCUUCUCUUUGUGGAAUUGAGGAUGAAAGCGAUGAAAAGAGAUUGGGGAUUUGAUCUUCACAGGAUUUGGUUAUACCUGAAUGUCUGGAAAAGGGUUUCGGAAUAACUCAUCCGCCACCACUUCCGCAGUUUCGAAACAGAGUUCUUCGCACUCUGUCAUUUCCACGACACAAGCUCAAGUAAUGAACAAAAUGGCUGCUCCUCCUUUGUCUCUUGAUUUUUUUUUCAGCGUAGAUCUUUAGGUAAAGAUGAAGCAACAUUACCUAUGCUGAAAGUACUUCAUUGGGAUAAAGUCAGGGCUCACAGCACCGGACUAUGGUCUAUUAUAUGCUUAAUAAAUCUCUUUCGAAUUGGAGGAAGAGAUGAUCGAGUCGCUAUUUGGAUACACAAUGCAAAUCUCCACAAAGAACGAAGAAGGGAAGUGCAACCAUCACCAGGAAAACACUUUCUUGAACCUAAAAGAUUUCAGAACUUUACUAUUUUCUUGAAAGCCCUUAACGCAAGAAGCGAUUAAAUUUGCUCUGCUUUGGGAAAAAGUAAGCCAGGAUCAGCUCGAAUCGUUGUGGAUCUCAUCUGAUUGUAAACCGUUCUUUUGUUUCAGGGGAAGGGUUGUGUUUACAGCAACUAUAAGUAUUUGUGAAGAUGAUGCCGUCUAAAUAAAGAAGAAGAGUUGAAGCUGUGUAGCUACUAAGGAGUAUUAGAUGAACUUGGCUCUGCUGAGAAAUUUCUCAGAGUGCUUGUGGGAGUACCAUUUGCAUUUCAAAGAUCUGAAAUAAUGCUUUACCGAGAGACGUUUGAAGAUGAAGUGGUUCAUCUCAAAAACUCCUUCUCAAUGCUUAAGGUGAUUAAUACAGAAAUUACUUAAUUAGGAAGGUUGCAAGGAGCUUAAGUCAAACAGGUUAUUCCUGAAGCUUUUAGAAGCUGUCUUUAAAACUUGGAACAAGAUAAAUUUUGUAGGGUGAUAUAAAAAUAUAAAAUUUGUGUGAAUUAAAUUAGUGUUCCAGUUGAAAAAUAUGUUUGAUUAAAAUCACAUAUUAUAAUAGAAAAUAAUGAUGACUUAGAAUGUUAGUCCACGUCUGAGCAAUGUUUUAAAACCAGAUCCGAAUGUUUUAAAACCAGAUCUAGAUGCUGAAUCAGAUGACCUUUCGGGUCAUCGGAUCGAUCGCGGAUGAACCUCAAAUUAAUAAAAUAAUUAAUUUUAUUAUAUAUAAUAAUAUAUUAGCUACAAAAUAAAAACAUAGAA
Molecule: long non-coding RNA, 1429 nt
Organism: Raphanus sativus (radish)
Lineage: Eukaryota; Viridiplantae; Streptophyta; Magnoliopsida; Brassicales; Brassicaceae
Exons: 3
Source: RefSeq, a predicted model, not a curated record